Molecule: ribosomal RNA, 253 nt
Filed under: uncultured bacterium
Lineage: Bacteria
Description: partial 16S ribosomal RNA
Rfam family: Bacterial small subunit ribosomal RNA
Source: RNAcentral
UACGUAUGGUGCAAGCGUUGUUCGGAAUCACUGGGCAUAAAGAGUUCGUAGGCGGCUCUGCAAGUCAGGUGUGAAAGCCCUCGGCUCAACCGAGGAACUGCACCUGAAACUGCAGAUCUAGAGUGCGGGAGGGGAGAACGGAAUUCCAGGUGGAGCGGUGAAAUGCGUAGAUAUCUGGAGGAACGCCGGAGGCGAAAGCGGUUCUCUGGCCCGCAACUGACGCUGAGGAACGAAAGCUAGGGGAGCAAACAGG